GCUCCCCGCCUACCGCUUAGUACGCUCGCGAGUCGACACAACUCACGACUUAAAACCGAAUCGAACAUUCCCCUCACGCGCCUCAAGCGUCGAUGUUGUGAUAUUUUAUUUAUAACAAAAUGUAUAACAAAACCUUUAUAAACAAAAGUGAAUCGUGAGUCGAGUGAGUUGCAACUUCAUCUUGCCAACGACGGAUUAACGGUACAAUAAAACCGGAUUAAUUACGAUUUAAGAUUAUAAUUUGAAAAUAUGCCAAGAAAGAAGGGAAUUAAAUGGACGAGGAUUUCAAAGAAAAAACAGCACGUGUGUACGUCUAAUUUGCGUAGCGUUGAAGAACCCUCAGGGCCAAUACAAAAUGAUCGUAAUGCGCAACCAGCUACAACAGACACACAUGGACAGCAUAUUAAUUUAAAAAUCUGUAGUAUACACCACAAGGCUUGAUGAAAUGAAAGUAGUAUUAAACCCUCAGACAGUGACUGACCAUACGAAAUUUUUGAGCAAGUAUUUGCCGAAAGCAAACCUAAAGCCACCGAUGAUUCCCUAAAACAUGCAAUGAGCCGUCAUAGACACAGUGACGGACCUAUGGCGUACGUCAAAUUAAAAUAUAAAAUCGAUCGCAUUAAUAUAAAUAUUGCACAUAAAAAGAUUUUGCUUGAUCGAAAACAAAACAAGGAAUUGCAAGGUGCACCCAAUAGUAAUUCAGACAAAGGAAUAACAAAAGAUGAAGACGUAACAAAGCCGAAGAUUCCCAAGACGUCCAGGAAAAAAAACAAAGACAAAACCGUAGAAAGUGUCGUGAGAGCUCACAAGACUAUAAAUUACCGCAAGAAUUAUAUAAUCAUAUACAACCAGAGGACUGACGAAGCCGAUGUUUAUUAUUUAAAUAAUACAGGGAUGGUCAUACAACAUUAUCGAACUGAUAAUGGAAGGCAUAGUCUUUUUCAAAGUUCACCAAACACUGCGACCAUACGGUAUUGCUGUUGGUACAAGCGGCAAGAUAUCGUAACUUCGAUGUUGAUGCACGUUCCUGCAAUAUCGGUUAGGUGUAUGGGCGCACCUCACUGGUGCGAAGGACGGUGUACGUGUUGCUGUAAAAAAAUUAUACAAACCUCUAAUGCCAAAGCUAAAACAUCCAAAGGUUUGACUACCGCGAAAAAAGAUCUUGUCUCUGAA
RNAcentral lists this long non-coding RNA (1173 nucleotides) under Manduca sexta (tobacco hornworm). RNAcentral describes it as "uncharacterized LOC119191780". Lineage: Eukaryota; Metazoa; Arthropoda; Insecta; Lepidoptera; Sphingidae. The record is from RNAcentral.